AGUGAACGCUGGCGGUAGGCCUAACACAUGCAAGUCGAACGGCGGCACAGUAAGAGCUUGCUCUUACGGGUGGCGAGUAGCGGACGGGUGAGGAAUACAUCGGAAUCUACUUUUUCGUGGGGGAUAACGUAGGGAAACUUACGCUAAUACCGCAUACGACCUACGGGUGAAAGCAGGGGAUCUUCGGACCUUGCGCGAUUGAAUGAGCCGAUGUCGGAUUAGCUAGUUGGCGGGGUAAAGGCCCACCAAGGCGACGAUCCGUAGCUGGUCUGAGAGGAUGAUCAGCCACACUGGAACUGAGACACGGUCCAGACUCCUACGGGAGGCAGCAGUGGGGAAUAUUGGACAAUGGGCGCAAGCCUGAUCCAGCCAUACCGCGUGGGUGAAGAAGGCCUUCGGGUUGUAAAGCCCUUUUGUUGGGAAAGAAAAGCAGCAGGUUAAUACCCCGCUGUUCUGACGGUACCCAAAGAAUAAGCACCGGCUAACUUCGUG
Molecule: ribosomal RNA, 492 nt
Filed under: uncultured bacterium
Lineage: Bacteria
Description: partial 16S ribosomal RNA
Rfam family: Bacterial small subunit ribosomal RNA
Source: RNAcentral